CAGCCGCCACGGUAAUACAGAGGCCUCAAGCGUUGUUCGGAUUCAUUGGGCGUAAGGGGAGCGUAGGCGGUCGGGUAAGUCGGAUGUGAAAUCCUGAGGCUCAACCUCAGAACUGCAUUCAAUACUGCUCGGCUAGAGUAUUGGAGAGGUGAGUGGAAUUCACGGUGUAGCAGUGAAAUGCGUAGAUAUCGUGAGGAAGACCAGCGGCGAAGGCGGCUCACUGGACAAUUACUGACGCUGAUGCUCGAAGGCCAGGGGAGCAAACGGGAUUAGAUACCCCCGUAGUCCCUGUCUCUUAUAC
This 301-nucleotide ribosomal RNA is filed under the name uncultured bacterium. RNAcentral describes it as "partial 16S ribosomal RNA". It matches the Rfam family "Bacterial small subunit ribosomal RNA", at positions 509 to 807 of the family's 1533-position model. The record is from RNAcentral.